CGUCUAUAUACGUAUAGCAUAUCAAUAAGCGGAGGAAAAGAAACUAACAAGGAUUCCCUUAGUAACGGCGAGUGAAGCGGGAAGAGCUCAAAUUUGAAAUCUUCAAGGUUCUACCUUGACGAAUUGUAGUUUAUAGAAGUGUUUUCUGUUAGUGGAGUGGCAAAAGUUCUUUGGAAUAGGACAUCAUAGAGGGUGAGAAUCCCGUAUUUGGUCAUUCCUCCUAGCGUUGUGAUACACUUUCAACGAGUCGGACUGUUUGGGAAUGCAGUCCAAAAUGGGUGGUAAAUUUCAUCUAAAGCUAAAUACUGGCGAGAGACCGAUAGCGAACAAGUACCGUGAGGGAAAGAUGAAAAGAACUUUGAAAAGAGAGUUAAACAGUACGUGAAAUUGUCAAAAGGGAAGCGUUUGACACCAGUGUUGUUUUUCCGAAAAUCAAUUACGAAUGUUUUAUUUUUGAGGAGUUAUGACUUCAUCGGCUUGCUCCUUUCUUUAUGAAACUUUCUUAAUGCACUUUUCGGUUAACAAGUCAACAUCAAUUUCUUUUGUUGUAAAAGGGUAUGAGGAAGGUGGCCUUCUUUUCGGAGAAAGUGUUUAUAGCCUUGUGCCUCUGCAAUCGGAGAGAUUGAGGUCUGCAGCGUAGAUCCUUCGGGGUUAGAUACGUUUGUGCUAAGUUAUAGCUUUUCAUAGACAACUUGUUGACUAUGUUUAGUCUUGUAGCUUACUCGCUGACGCUAUUUUACCUACGCUUAGGAUGUUGACUGAUAUGUAGUCGUA
This 774-nucleotide ribosomal RNA is filed under the name uncultured Neocallimastigales. RNAcentral describes it as "partial large subunit ribosomal RNA". It matches the Rfam family "Eukaryotic large subunit ribosomal RNA", at positions 26 to 644 of the family's 3401-position model. Lineage: Eukaryota; Fungi; Neocallimastigomycota; Neocallimastigomycetes; Neocallimastigales. The record is from RNAcentral.